UCUCACUAAUUCUUUUUCAUAUAUGUAAAAGGAAAACAAGGUGAUACUAUUAUUUUGGUUUAUAUCCUAAUUAGCUUUUACCUAGCAUAUAACAACAUCAUACCAAGGAAAACCCACGAAUAGGGACUAGGGAGGGUGGAGUGUACGUAGACGUUAUCAAUACCUCGUGAAGAUAGAGAUGUUUCAAUAUUAUUUUAGCAAGCCUU
RNAcentral lists this long non-coding RNA (206 nucleotides) under Capsicum annuum. RNAcentral's name for it is "long non-coding RNA (CANN_LNC006921)". The record is from RNAcentral. Lineage: Eukaryota; Viridiplantae; Streptophyta; Magnoliopsida; Solanales; Solanaceae.